CCUACGGGUGGCUGCAGUGGGGAAUAUUGGACAAUGGGCGAAAGCCUGAUCCAGCCAUGCCGCGUGUGUGAAGAAGGCCUUCGGGUUGUAAAGCACUUUCAGUGGGGAAGAAAGCCUUGGGGCUAAUACCCUCGAGGAAGGACAUCACCCACAGAAGAAGCACCGGCUAACUCCGUGCCAGCAGCCGCGGUAAUACGGAGGGUGCGAGCGUUAAUCGGAAUUACUGGGCGUAAAGCGCGCGUAGGCGGUCUGAUAAGCCGGUUGUGAAAGCCCCGGGCUCAACCUGGGAACGGCAUCCGGAACUGUCAGGCUAGAGUGCAGGAGAGGAAGGUAGAAUUCCCGGUGUAGCGGUGAAAUGUGUAGAGAUCGGGAGGAAUACCAGUGGCGAAGGCGGCCUUCUGGACUGACACUGACGCUGAGGUGCGAAAGCGUGGGUAGCAAACAGGAUUAGAUACCCCAGUAGUC
Molecule: ribosomal RNA, 465 nt
Filed under: Vreelandella stevensii
Lineage: Bacteria; Pseudomonadati; Pseudomonadota; Gammaproteobacteria; Oceanospirillales; Halomonadaceae
Description: partial 16S ribosomal RNA
Rfam family: Bacterial small subunit ribosomal RNA
Source: RNAcentral